RNAcentral lists this ribosomal RNA (304 nucleotides) under uncultured bacterium. RNAcentral's name for it is "partial 16S ribosomal RNA". It matches the Rfam family "Bacterial small subunit ribosomal RNA", at positions 506 to 809 of the family's 1533-position model. The record is from RNAcentral.
CAGCAGUAGCCGCGGUAAUACAGAGGGUGCGAGCGUUAAUCGGAUUUACUGGGCGUAAAGCGUGCGUAGGCGGCUAAUUGAGUCGGAUGUGAAAUCCCAGAGCUUAACUUGGGAAUUGCAUUCGAUACUGGUUAGCUAGAGUGUGGGAGAGGAUGGUAGAAUUCCAGGUGUAGCGGUGAAAUGCGUAGAGAUCUGGAGGAAUACCGAUGGCGAAGGCAGCCAUCUGGCCUAACACUGACGCUGAGGUACGAAAGCAUGGGGAGCAAACAGGAUUAGAUACCCGUGUAGUCCCUGUCUCUUAUAA